UUAGGAAUCUUCCCCAAUGGGCGCAAGCCUGAGGGAGCGACACUGCGUGAAGGAUGAAGGUUUUCGGAUCGUAAACUUCUGAACGAGGGACGAAUAAUGACGGUACCUCGCUAAAAGCACCGGCUAACUCCGUGCCAGCAGCCGCGGUAAUACGGAGGGUGCAAGCGUUAUCCGGAAUCAUUGGGCGUAAAGCGUCCGCAGGUGGUUAAUCAAGUCUGCUGUUAAAGACAGAAGCUCAACUUCUGAAAGGCAGUGGAAACUGGAGAACUAGAGUACGGUAGGGGUCGAGGGAAUUCCCAGUGUAGCGGUGAAAUGCGUAGAGAUUGGGAAGAACACCAGUGGCGAAGGCGCUCGACUGGGCCGUAACUGACACUCAGGGACGAAAGCUAGGGUAGCGAAAGGGAUUAGAUACCCCUGUAGUCC
Molecule: ribosomal RNA, 423 nt
Filed under: uncultured prokaryote
Description: bacterial SSU rRNA
Rfam family: Bacterial small subunit ribosomal RNA
Source: RNAcentral